AACAUCAAUAUUAUCGCUCCACGGUUAUCCCUGUGUAAGAUUUCGUUCUGCGCGGGGACCGGGUUAUGUGUUGUUCACUAUUUCCUGGUUUUAAUAAUUUGUGUUGAAGCGUAGAUUUAAUACCAAGUACGUUGCUGGGCGCCUGAUAUUGAGUCAAUUUGAUUAUGAUCUAUUGGGAAUCAGCUGUAUCUACAUUU
This 197-nucleotide small nucleolar RNA is filed under the name Kluyveromyces lactis. RNAcentral describes it as "Small nucleolar RNA snR32". It matches the Rfam family "Small nucleolar RNA snR32". Lineage: Eukaryota; Fungi; Ascomycota; Saccharomycetes; Saccharomycetales; Saccharomycetaceae. The record is from Rfam by way of RNAcentral.